This is a long non-coding RNA of Amphimedon queenslandica, 322 nucleotides long. RefSeq lists it as uncharacterized. The transcript is spliced from 3 exons. Lineage: Eukaryota; Metazoa; Porifera; Demospongiae; Haplosclerida; Niphatidae. The record is from RefSeq and is a predicted model, not a curated record.
UCAUGCUAUACUGAUGCAUGGAUAAGUACUAAUGGAUUGAUUAGCUUGGGAACUAGUUUUACUCAUUAUCGUCCAAAUCUCUUUCCUAUUGCUACUCCAGUCAUUGCUCCAUAUUGGGAUGACAGUGACUUACGUGUAGGAGGUGAAGUACGUUAUGCUGUUAUAACUCCAGCAACUAAUCUUUCAUUGUGUAAUCAAGUCAAUAAUUACUUAUCUACUUCAACUGGUAGUAGUGCAUCUGUUGAAUGGAUACUGUGGGCCUACUGGUAUGAUGUAUGCCCAUUUCUUAAUUGCAACAAUAUUCAGUCCAAUCAUUUCCAGG